UCUCCGUAGGUGAACCUGCGGAGGGAUCAUUACUGAGUGAGGGCCUUCGGGCUCGACCUCCAACCCUUUGUGAACACAACUUGUUGCUUCGGGGGCGACCCUGCCGUCCGCUGCUGAGCGCCCCCGGGGUCAAUCAAACACUGCAUUCUCUGCGUCGGAGUAUUAGUAAAUCUAAUCAAAACUUUCUGCAACGGAUCUCUUGGUUCUGGCAUCGAUGAAGAAGGCAGC
This 228-nucleotide unclassified non-coding RNA is filed under the name uncultured fungus. RNAcentral's name for it is "sequence contains ITS1, 5.8S rRNA gene". The stretch from base 180 to 228 matches the Rfam family "5.8S ribosomal RNA", at positions 1 to 49 of the family's 154-position model. Lineage: Eukaryota; Fungi. The record is from RNAcentral.